Long non-coding RNA from Cyprinus carpio carpio, 447 nucleotides. The record is from Ensembl. Lineage: Eukaryota; Metazoa; Chordata; Actinopteri; Cypriniformes; Cyprinidae.
AUAUUUUUGAAACUGCAUUAUAGUGAUGGAUAUUUGUCAGUCUUGAAAAUAUUUCUUAGAGUGCACAUUUAUAGUGUCCAGAAAUACUUUUUCGGCUACUGUAGUUUAGUGUGUCAUGAUGUGAAAGUGUAUGUGUGUGUGCAUUAUAAUGCAUUAAGAAUAUCUUUAUAAUUCCUUGAACAUAGAAGCUUCAUUUAAAGUGUUACCAAGAUUUCCUUGAAUUUGACACUUUUUAAGUGAGAAUUUUCUCAAGAGCACUAAACUGAGCGAAGGGACUGGAGUGUGAUCAUUAUCCAAAUCACAAAAGUCUGCUAGAUGAGUGAAACAUUAACUUCAACUGUUCUCUGUGACACUUCCUCCCUGGAGGUCAGUCCUCAGUGAUCAGUCCUCAUGUUUGCUCAUUAAAUCUAUUACAUAGUUGGCUGAAAUCGAUGUUUCCCUCUCUCU